RNAcentral lists this ribosomal RNA (429 nucleotides) under Gemmatimonadota bacterium. RNAcentral describes it as "Gemmatimonadetes bacterium partial 16S ribosomal RNA". It matches the Rfam family "Bacterial small subunit ribosomal RNA", at positions 355 to 776 of the family's 1533-position model. Lineage: Bacteria; Pseudomonadati; Gemmatimonadota. The record is from RNAcentral.
UAGGGAAUCUUCGGCAAUGGACGAAAGUCUGACCGAGCAACGCCGCGUGAGUGAAGAAGGUUUUCGGAUCGUAAAACUCUGUUGUUAGAGAAGAACAAGGACGUUAGUAACUGAACGUCCCCUGACGGUAUCUAACCAGAAAGCCACGGCUAACUACGUGCCAGCAGCCGCGGUAAUACGUAGGUGGCAAGCGUUGUCCGGAUUUAUUGGGCGUAAAGCGAGCGCAGGCGGUUUCUUAAGUCUGAUGUGAAAGCCCCCGGCUCAACCGGGGAGGGUCAUUGGAAACUGGGAGACUUGAGUGCAGAAGAGGAGGGUGGAAUUCCAUGUGUAGCGGUGAAAUGCGUAAAUAUAUGGAGGAACACCAGUGGCGAAGGCGGCUCUCUGGUCUGUAACUGACGCUGAGGCUCGAAAGCGUGGGGAGCAAACAGG